GGAGGAAUGGCAGAGUGGUUGAAUGCGGCGGUCUUGAAAACCGUUGUGCCGCAAGGCACCGUGGGUUCAAAUCCUACUUCCUCCGCCA
This 88-nucleotide transfer RNA is filed under the name Eggerthella sp. CAG:209. Its description in RNAcentral is "transfer RNA-Ser(TGA)". It matches the Rfam family "tRNA". From Rfam's summary of the family: Transfer RNA (tRNA) molecules are approximately 80 nucleotides in length. Their secondary structure includes four short double-helical elements and three loops (D, anti-codon, and T loops). The record is from RNAcentral. RNAcentral also lists the same sequence under 4 other names. Lineage: Bacteria; Bacillati; Actinomycetota; Coriobacteriia; Eggerthellales; Eggerthellaceae.